UCCAGACUCCUACGGGAGGCAGCAGUGAGGAAUAUUGGUCAAUGGGCGGAAGCCUGAACCAGCCAAGUCGCGUGAGGGACUAAGGCCCUGCGGGUCGUAAACCUCUUUUGCCGGGGAGCAAGGGCGGGGACGUGUCCCGGCCCGGAGAGUACCCGGAGAAAAAGCAUCGGCUAACUCCGUGCCAGCAGCCGCGGUAAUACGGAGGAUGCGAGCGUUAUCCGGAUUUAUUGGGUUUAAAGGGUGCGUAGGCGGGCUUUUAAGUCAGCGGUAAAAAUUCGGGGCUCAACCCCGUCCGGCCGUUGAAACUGGCGUUCUUGAGUGGGCGAGAAGUAUGCGGAAUGCGUGGUGUAGCGGUGAAAUGCAUAGAUAUCACGCAGAACUCCGAUUGCGAAGGCAGCAUACCGGCGCCCAACUGACGCUGAAGCACGAAAGCGUGGGUAUCGAACAGGAUUAGAUACCCGAGUAC
Molecule: ribosomal RNA, 466 nt
Filed under: uncultured bacterium
Lineage: Bacteria
Description: bacterial SSU rRNA
Rfam family: Bacterial small subunit ribosomal RNA
Source: RNAcentral